GCGGCCGUAACUAUAACGGUCCUAAGGUAGCGAAAUUCCUUGUCGGGUAAGUUCCGACCUGCACGAAUGGCGUAACGAUCUGGGCACUGUCUCGACGAGAGACUCGGUGAAAUUGUAGUAGCGGUGAAGAUGCCGUUUACCCGCAGUAGGACGAAAAGACCCCGUGAACCUUUACUAUACUCUGGUAUUGGUUUUUGGGUUAUCAUGUGUAGGAUAGCCAGGAGGCGAGGAAGUAGAGUCGUCAGGCUUUAUGGAGCCAUCCUUGAAAUACUGGUCUUGAUAAUCCGGAAAUCUAACGAUGAAACCCGUGAAACCGGGCAUCGGACAUUGCCAGACGGGUAGUUUGACUGGGGCGGUUUCCUCCUAAAAAGUAACGGAGGAGUCCAAAGCUUGCUUCACCAUGGUCGGCAAUCAUGGGUUGAGCGUAAAGGCAUAUGGCAAGUUGACUGUAAGACGGACAUGUCGAGCAGGUACGAAAGUAGGGCUUAGUGAUCCGGCGGUUGAAAGUGGAAUCGCCGUCGCUUAACGGAUAAAAGGUACUCCGGGGAUAACAGGCUGAUCGCCACCAAGAGUUCAUAUCGACGUGGCGGUUUGGCACCUCGAUGUCGACUCAUCACAUCCUGGGGCUGUAGAAGGUCCCAAGGGUUUGGCUGUUCGCCAAUUAAAGUGGUACGCGAGUUGGGUUCAGAACGUCGUGAGACAGUUCGGUUUCUAUCCGCUGUGGGCGUAGGAUAUUUGAGGAGAGCUGCUUCUAGUACGAGAGGACCGAAGUGGACAGACCUCUGGUGAUCCGGUUGUUCUGCCAAGGGCAUCGCCGGGUAGCUAUGUUUGGAAAGGAUAAGCGUUGAAAGCAUCUAAACGCCAAGCCUCCUCCAAGAUAAGAUAUCCCAAUGAGACUCCCGAUAGACGAUCGGGUUGAUAGGCCGGGUGUGUAAGUGCAGUAAUGCAUUCAGCUGACCGGUACUAAUAAGUCCAUUGGCUUGGUCAC
RNAcentral lists this non-coding RNA (988 nucleotides) under Chlamydiae bacterium RIFCSPHIGHO2_12_FULL_49_11. Its description in RNAcentral is "bacterial LSU rRNA". It matches the Rfam family "Bacterial large subunit ribosomal RNA", at positions 1930 to 2925 of the family's 2925-position model. The record is from RNAcentral. Lineage: Bacteria; Pseudomonadati; Chlamydiota.